Molecule: long non-coding RNA, 579 nt
Filed under: Mytilus galloprovincialis (Mediterranean mussel)
Lineage: Eukaryota; Metazoa; Mollusca; Bivalvia; Mytilida; Mytilidae
Source: RNAcentral
CUGAAACAGUCUUAACCCAUUCUCGACAUGUACUCGACCUAUUUUUCCAGUCUAAACCAUACUUAACCAAAGGUCUGAACAAUACUCGACCAGUCUGAACCAUACUAGACCAAAAAACCUCUAUUUUUUUAACUGUUAAAAUAAAUUUCUUUUUAACUGACAUAUAUUACAACAGCCAACAAAAUUUAUAAAAUACAUUUAACCUUAUAAAAGAAAUAUAUCUCUGAUUAUAUUUAGGAUAAAAAAAAUUAAUUAUAUAUAACUUAUAUCAAAAAGGUAUAAAAUUAAAUAAAUAGAUAAAAUUGUUUUUCUGAUUAGUGGUGAAAUAUAAAGUAUAACCUCUGCUUGGGGCAAACUCAUAAAUAAGAUCACACCUGGUCAGAGGUAUUAAAUUCUAAAUAACAUUGAUUCAAAAUUGCAACAUCCUGUUUAAAUUAAAUAACAAGGCCUUUCGAAUAUACAUGUAUGUACUAGAUAAGUAAUACACGAAUUUAAGAAAAUAGGGCUUUCUUUUUACCUGUAAAACACACAUGUACUGAGGUAAUUAGAACAUAUUAAAGUGCUUUAUGUAUGCCAUGU